This 1373-nucleotide ribosomal RNA is filed under the name uncultured bacterium. Its description in RNAcentral is "bacterial SSU rRNA". It matches the Rfam family "Bacterial small subunit ribosomal RNA", at positions 28 to 1381 of the family's 1533-position model. The record is from RNAcentral.
GAUGAACGCUGGCGGCGUGCCUAAUACAUGCAAGUCGAGCGAACGGACGAGAAGCUUGCUUCUCUGAUGUUAGCGGCGGACGGGUGAGUAACACGUGGAUAACCUACCUAUAAGACUGGGAUAACUUCGGGAAACCGGAGCUAAUACCGGAUAAUAUUUUGAACCGCAUGGUUCAAAAGUGAAAGACGGUCUUGCUGUCACUUAUAGAUGGAUCCGCGCUGCAUUAGCUAGUUGGUAAGGUAACGGCUUACCAAGGCAACGAUGCAUAGCCGACCUGAGAGGGUGAUCGGCCACACUGGAACUGAGACACGGUCCAGACUCCUACGGGAGGCAGCAGUAGGGAAUCUUCCGCAAUGGGCGAAAGCCUGACGGAGCAACGCCGCGUGAGUGAUGAAGGUCUUCGGAUCGUAAAACUCUGUUAUUAGGGAAGAACAUAUGUGUAAGUAACUGUGCACAUCUUGACGGUACCUAAUCAGAAAGCCACGGCUAACUACGUGCCAGCAGCCGCGGUAAUACGUAGGUGGCAAGCGUUAUCCGGAAUUAUUGGGCGUAAAGCGCGCGUAGGCGGUUUUUUAAGUCUGAUGUGAAAGCCCACGGCGUCAACCGUGGAGGGUCAUUGGAAACUGGAAAACUUGAGUGCAGAAGAGGAAAGUGGAAUUCCAUGUGUAGCGGUGAAAUGCGCAGAGAUAUGGAGGAACACCAGUGGCGAAGGCGACUUUCUGGUCUGUAACUGACGCUGAUGUGCGAAAGCGUGGGGAUCAAACAGGAUUAGAUACCCUGGUAGUCCACGCCGUAAACGAUGAGUGCUAAGUGUUAGGGGGUUUCCGCCCCUUAGUGCUGCAGCUAACGCAUUAAGCACUCCGCCUGGGGAGUACGACCGCAAGGUUGAAACUCAAAGGAAUUGACGGGGACCCGCACAAGCGGUGGAGCAUGUGGUUUAAUUCGAAGCAACGCGAAGAACCUUACCAAAUCUUGACAUCCUUUGACAACUCUAGAGAUAGAGCCUUCCCCUUCGGGGGACAAAGUGACAGGUGGUGCAUGGUUGUCGUCAGCUCGUGUCGUGAGAUGUUGGGUUAAGUCCCGCAACGAGCGCAACCCUUAAGCUUAGUUGCCAUCAUUAAGUUGGGCACUCUAAGUUGACUGCCGGUGACAAACCGGAGGAAGGUGGGGAUGACGUCAAAUCACCAUGCCCCUUAUGAUUUGGGCUACACACGUGCUACAAUGGACAAUACAAAGGGCAGCGAAACCGCGAGGUCAAGCAAAUCCCAUAAAGUUGUUCUCAGUUCGGAUUGUAGUCUGCAACUCGACUACAUGAAGCUGGAAUCGCUAGUAAUCGUAGAUCAGCAUGCUACGGUGAAUACGUUCCCGGGUCU